GAUGAACGCUAGCGAUAGGCUUAACACAUGCAAGUCGAGGGGCAGCAUGGUCUUAGCUUGCUAAGGCUGAUGGCGACCGGCGCACGGGUGCGUAACGCGUAUGCAACUUGCCUCACAGAGGGGGAUAACCCGUCGAAAGACGGACUAAUACCGCGUACACUCUAAGUUGGGCAUCCAAUGUAGAGGAAAUGAAAUUCGCUGUGAGAUAGGCAUGCGUCCCAUUAGCUAGUUGGUGAGGUAACGGCUCACCAAGGCGACGAUGGGUAGGGGAACUGAGAGGUUGAACCCCCACACUGGUACUGAGACACGGACCAGACUCCUACGGGAGGCAGCAGUGAGGAAUAUUGGUCAAUGGGCGAGAGCCUGAACCAGCCAAGUCGCGUGAAGGAUGACUGUCUUAUGGAUUGUAAACUUCUUUUAUACGGGAAUAACAAGAGUCACGUGUGGCUCCCUGCAUGUACCGUAUGAAUAAGCAUCGGCUAACUCCGUG
RNAcentral lists this ribosomal RNA (490 nucleotides) under uncultured bacterium. RNAcentral describes it as "partial 16S ribosomal RNA". It matches the Rfam family "Bacterial small subunit ribosomal RNA", at positions 28 to 507 of the family's 1533-position model. The record is from RNAcentral.